UCUGGCGGCGAUAGCGCGGUGGUCCCACCUGACCCCAUGCCGAACUCAGAAGUGAAACGCCGUAGCGCCGAUGGUAGUGUGGGGUCUCCCCAUGCGAGAGUAGGGAACUGCCAGAC
RNAcentral lists this ribosomal RNA (116 nucleotides) under Jejuibacter calystegiae. Lineage: Bacteria; Pseudomonadati; Pseudomonadota; Gammaproteobacteria; Enterobacterales; Enterobacteriaceae. RNAcentral also lists the same sequence under 2 other names. The record is from RNAcentral.